GCCCCCUUAGCUCAGGGGAUAGAGCACCGGCCUCCGGAGCCGGGUGCGCAGGUUCGAAUCCUGCAGGGGGCG
This 72-nucleotide transfer RNA is filed under the name Actinoallomurus spadix. RNAcentral describes it as "tRNA-Arg". It matches the Rfam family "tRNA". Rfam says of the family: Transfer RNA (tRNA) molecules are approximately 80 nucleotides in length. The record is from RNAcentral. RNAcentral also lists the same sequence under 8 other names. Lineage: Bacteria; Bacillati; Actinomycetota; Actinomycetes; Streptosporangiales; Thermomonosporaceae.